UAGGGAAUAUUGCGCAAUGGGGGAAACCCUGACGCAGCAAUGCCGCGUGAGUGAGGAAGGCCUUCGGGUUGUAAAGCUCUGUCCUUAGGGAAAAAUGGCCUUAAUGUGAAUAGCAUUAAGGAGUGAUGGUACCUAAGAAGAAAGCACCGGCUAACUUCGUGCCAGCAGCCGCGGUAAUACGAAGGGUGCAAGCGUUGUUCGGAUUUAUUGGGCGUAAAGCGCGCGCAGGCGGAUUUGUAAGUCAGGUGUGAAAUCUCGGGGCUUAACCCCGAAAGUGCGCCUGAAACUGUAAGUCUAGAAUGCCGGAGAGGGAAGGGGAAUUUCUCAUGUAGGGGUAAAAUCCGUAGAUAUGAGAAGGAACACCAGAGGCGAAGGCGCCUUCCUGGACGGUAAUUGACGCUGAGGCGCGAAAGCGUGGGGAGCAAACAGG
Molecule: ribosomal RNA, 430 nt
Filed under: uncultured bacterium
Lineage: Bacteria
Description: bacterial SSU rRNA
Rfam family: Bacterial small subunit ribosomal RNA
Source: RNAcentral